RNAcentral lists this non-coding RNA (202 nucleotides) under Mesorhizobium plurifarium. The record is from RNAcentral. Lineage: Bacteria; Pseudomonadati; Pseudomonadota; Alphaproteobacteria; Hyphomicrobiales; Phyllobacteriaceae.
UGAUUGUGUCCAAGCCAUGGUUCUCCGUACGGUGCUGCCGCAGCGGAGCUAAGAGGGAAGCCGGUGCGAUGCCGGCGCUGCCCCCGCAACUGUUAGAGGCGAGCCGAACCCACUCCAUGUCACUGAGGCCGAACAGCCUCGGGAAGACGGGUAGAGCUAUGACCCCCGAGCCAGGAGACCUGCCACGGCGAACUAUUGUCCA